RNAcentral lists this ribosomal RNA (496 nucleotides) under uncultured bacterium. Its description in RNAcentral is "partial 16S ribosomal RNA". It matches the Rfam family "Bacterial small subunit ribosomal RNA", at positions 28 to 506 of the family's 1533-position model. The record is from RNAcentral.
GAUGAACGCUGGCGGCGUGCCUAAUACAUGCAAGUCGAGCGAACAGACGAGGAGCUUGCUCCUCUGACGUUAGCGGCGGACGGGUGAGUAACACGUGGAUAACCUACCUAUAAGACUGGGAUAACUUCGGGAAACCGGAGCUAAUACCGGAUAAUAUAUUGAACCGCAUGGUUCAAUAGUGAAAGACGGUUUUGCUGUCACUUAUAGAUGGAUCCGCGCCGCAUUAGCUAGUUGGUAAGGUAACGGCUUACCAAGGCGACGAUGCGUAGCCGACCUGAGAGGGUGAUCGGCCACACUGGAACUGAGACACGGUCCAGACUCCUACGGGAGGCAGCAGUAGGGAAUCGUCCGCAAUGGGCGAAAGCCUGACGGAGCAACGCCGCGUGAGUGAUGAAGGUCUUCGGAUCGUAAAACGCUGUUAUGAGGGAAGAACAAAUGUGUAAGUAACUAUGCACGUCUUGACGGUACCUAAUCAGAAAGCCACGGCUAACUACGU